GCCUAGGUCGCAUAACCUGGUAGUGCGCUGGCCUUGAGAGCCAGUUUCCGCAAGGAUUUCGGGGUUCGAAUCCCUGCCUAGGCG
RNAcentral lists this transfer RNA (84 nucleotides) under Candidatus Woesearchaeota archaeon. RNAcentral describes it as "tRNA-Ser". It matches the Rfam family "tRNA". Rfam says of the family: Transfer RNA (tRNA) molecules are approximately 80 nucleotides in length. Their secondary structure includes four short double-helical elements and three loops (D, anti-codon, and T loops). Lineage: Archaea; Nanobdellati; Candidatus Woesearchaeota. The record is from RNAcentral.